GACGAACGCUGGCGGCGUGCUUAACACAUGCAAGUCGAACGGAAAGGCCCUGCUUUUGUGGGGUGCUCGAGUGGCGAACGGGUGAGUAACACGUGAGUAACCUGCCCUUGACUUUGGGAUAACUUCAGGAAACUGGGGCUAAUACCGGAUAGGAGCUCCUGCUGCAUGGUGGGGGUUGGAAAGUUUCGGCGGUUGGGGAUGGACUCGCGGCUUAUCAGCUUGUUGGUGGGGUAGUGGCUUACCAAGGCUUUGACGGGUAGCCGGCCUGAGAGGGUGACCGGCACCAUUGGGACUGAGAUAAGGCCCAGUCUCGUACGGGAGGCAGCAGUGGGGAAUAUUGCACAAUGGGCGGAAGCCGGAUGCAGCAACGCCGCGUGCGGGAUGACGGCCUUCGGGUUGUAAACCGCUUUCGCCUGUGACGAAGCGUGAGUGACGGUAAUGGGUAAAGAAGCACCGGCUAACUACGUG
This 468-nucleotide ribosomal RNA is filed under the name uncultured bacterium. Its description in RNAcentral is "partial 16S ribosomal RNA". It matches the Rfam family "Bacterial small subunit ribosomal RNA", at positions 28 to 507 of the family's 1533-position model. The record is from RNAcentral.